GGGAGGACUACACAUGCAAGUCGAGCGAGAACUUCGGUUCUAGCGGCGGACGGGUUAGUAACGCGUGGGAACGUGCCCUUCACUACGGAAUAGUCCCGGGAAACUGGGUUUAAUACCGUAUACGCCCUUCGGGGGAAAGAAUUUCGGUGAAGGAUCGGCCCGCGUUAGAUUAGAUAGUUGGUGGGGUAACGGCCUACCAAGUCUACGAUCUAUAGCUGGUUUUAGAGGAUGAUCAGCAACACUGGGACUGAGACACGGCCCAGACUCCUACGGGAGGCAGCAGUGGGGAAUCUUAGACAAUGGGCGCAAGCCUGAUCUAGCCAUGCCGCGUGAGUGAUGAAGGCCUUAGGGUCGUAAAGCUCUUUCGCCAGGGAUGAUAAUGACAGUACCUGGUAAAGAAACCCCGGCUAACUCCGUGCCAGCAGCCGCGGUAAUACGGAGGGGGUUAGCGUUGUUCGGAAUUACUGGGCGUAAAGCGCGCGUAGGCGGAUUGGAAAGUUGGGGGUGAAAUCCCAGGGCUCAACCCUGGAACUGCCUCCAAAACUAUCAGUCUAGAGUUCGAGAGAGGUGAGUGGAACUCCGAGUGUAGAGGUGAAAUUCGUAGAUAUUCGGAAGAACACCAGUGGCGAAGGCGGCUCACUGGCUCGAUACUGACGCUGAGGUGCGAAAGUGUGGGGAGCAAACAGGAUUAGAUACCCUGGUAGUCCACA
This 710-nucleotide ribosomal RNA is filed under the name Roseovarius sp. RNAcentral describes it as "bacterial SSU rRNA". It matches the Rfam family "Bacterial small subunit ribosomal RNA", at positions 41 to 799 of the family's 1533-position model. The record is from RNAcentral. Lineage: Bacteria; Pseudomonadati; Pseudomonadota; Alphaproteobacteria; Rhodobacterales; Roseobacteraceae.